Molecule: long non-coding RNA, 1241 nt
Filed under: Medicago truncatula (barrel medic)
Lineage: Eukaryota; Viridiplantae; Streptophyta; Magnoliopsida; Fabales; Fabaceae
Description: long non-coding RNA (MTRU_LNC005340)
Source: RNAcentral
GAGAGAAUUACACAAUCUAUCUUUCCAUUGCAUUUGACCUAGAACUAUGGAAUCCUUUGAUUAAUAACAUGGUAUCAGAGCGCUAUGGAGAUAGCGAUUUUGAUUCAGUUUAUGAUGAAGAAGAUGAUUCUGAUGGUGAUGAAGAAGAAGAUCUUGAAGCUUCCGCAUCAGCAACCUUGAGUUCUUCAGCUUCGCAAUUUUCAGUUGUUUUCGGUAGUUUUGGCGAUUCGGUUUCUACUCCUCCUUCUUCAUCAUGGAUCGCACCAGAAAUUGAUGGAUUCACCAUCAAGAUCGGUGCAGUUCCUUGUUUUCUGGUUGAUUCAUGUUGCAGCAAUCACGACUCUGCUUUUGACGCUUCGGAAGAAAACCAGAAAACACCAAUUCUUGAUUCGGAGUUGAUGGUUUCUGCAAAAUCAAUGAAUUCGAACAAUCGCGAAUCUGAGUUCCAUGUUUCUGAAGCCGCGUUCAAGCAAUCGAACCUCGGCAAUAAAACCAUAAGCGCUUUUAGAAUUCCAAGAGCCUCGGCAAUAUUCUGGGAGUUGAUCCAUUCCAGCACUUCCAAAUUGUUGAAAAUCAAACCUGAAUUGUAAAAAAACACCGCCAUUAAGGAAACAAUAUAUAACAACAAAAUCAAUACAGCUCACGCUCACGCAUACAAUUGAAUCAACAGAAAAACACAGUGGAUAAAUAUAUUUUUAAUACCAUCGAUAAACAGAACAAAACACACUUUAUUUAUAAGUGUUAAUGUUACACAGCAUGCAAAAAGAAGUUGACUUCAGCAAUUGUUAUAGGUUUGACUCCUCUAAAGUGAAUUUUAUCCUCUAAAGUUUGCUCCUAUUUUUAGAGUAGACGCGUUCUUCUGGAACAAUCCCAAAGCCCGUCUAAUAAUUAUAAUUGCAUUGUACAUGUUUAAAUGAAAAGUAACAUUACAUUGUUCAUACAACCGUUUUCAACCUUUUCUUUCUGUUCAGUAAAUCCAUCUAUUUAACUAGUUACAAUGCAGAUAUCGUUAAGUGACUAGAACUUAGGACAAUCGAUGAUAGUGCUUGUCAAAUUAUGUUGGUCUUGUGAAAAUGAUUAAAAAUCUGGAUAGACAUAUUAGACAGAAAUAAUCUUACUGACAUUCAAAAAAGACACUAGAGUAGUGUACAUGCUUCAACAGUCUUAAUAAAUAGCAUGUCUUUUGCAUUACUCUUUCGCAUUACAUGGUAUUUUCCUACAUUACUAUGUUUAGGCAAUGU